AUUGAACGCUGGCAGCAGGCCUAACACAUGCAAGUCGAGCGGCAGCGGAAAGUAGCUUGCUACUUUGCCGGCGAGCGGCGGACGGGUGAGUAAUGUCUGGGAAACUGCCUGAUGGAGGGGGAUAACUACUGGAAACGGUAGCUAAUACCGCAUAACGUCGCAAGACCAAAGAGGGGGACCUUCGGGCCUCUUGCCAUCAGAUGUGCCCAGAUGGGAUUAGCUAGUAGGUGGGGUAACGGCUCACCUAGGCGACGAUCCCUAGCUGGUCUGAGAGGAUGACCAGCCACACUGGAACUGAGACACGGUCCAGACUCCUACGGGAGGCAGCAGUGGGGAAUAUUGCACGAUGGGCGCAAGCCUGAUGCAGCCAUGCCGCGUGUAUGAAGAAGGCCUUCGGGUUGUAAAGUACUUUCAGCGGGGAGGAAGGCGUUGAGGUUAAUAACCUCAGCGAUUGACGUUACCCGCAGAAGAAGCACCGGCUAACUCCGUGCCAGCCGCCGCGGUAA
Molecule: ribosomal RNA, 506 nt
Filed under: uncultured bacterium
Lineage: Bacteria
Description: partial 16S ribosomal RNA
Rfam family: Bacterial small subunit ribosomal RNA
Source: RNAcentral